RNAcentral lists this ribosomal RNA (442 nucleotides) under uncultured bacterium. Its description in RNAcentral is "partial 16S ribosomal RNA". It matches the Rfam family "Bacterial small subunit ribosomal RNA", at positions 338 to 795 of the family's 1533-position model. The record is from RNAcentral.
CCUACGGGUGGCAGCAGUAGGGAAUUUUUGGCAAUGGGCGCAAGCCUGACGCAGCAACGCAGCGUGAAGGAAGAAGGCUUUCGGAUUGUAAACUUCUGUUGACAGGGAAGAUUAGAAUACAGUGCCUGUCGAAUCAUCCACAGCGCACUACGUGCCAGCAGCCGCGGUAAUACUGAGGUUGCAAGCGUUGUCCGGAUUUACUGUGUGUAAAGGGCGUGUAGCCGGGUUGACAAGUCAGAUGUGAAAUCCUGCGGCUUAACCGCAGAACUGCAUUUGAAACUGGUGAGCUUGAGUACUGGAGAGGUAGACGGAAGUCUUAGUGUAGCGGUGAAAUGCGUAGAUAUUAGGAGGAACACCAGCGGCGAAGGCGGUCUGCUGGAUAGCAACUGACGGUGAGGAGCGAAAGCGUGGGGAGCAAACAGGAUUAGAUACCCCAGUAGUC